UAAAUUUGUUUUUCUUUGGUAUUUUCUUUGCCUGUUGCUUUAACAAAGAAUAAUAUGAUAAAUUAUCUUUUUUUACAAAAGUUUAACCAAAAAAAAUUAAAUUUUAUUUCUCAAAAAUAAUGUUUUCCUCCAUUUCCAGUUACACAGUCGAAUGUGGUGAUAACAUCGUGUGUUUUCAAUUUAGAAUAUUUGCAUUCAUAAAAUGCCAAGAAAAUGUUCGACAACUCAUCCUGGCACAAGAAAAUAUGGCACUAAAUCUAAUUACACCAAUUCUACACUUCAAGAGGCUUUAGCCAAAAUUAAAUUAUAAAAAAUGUCGAUUGGUGAAGCUUCUAAAAUUUAUAAAGUACCUAAAGCAACAUUAUUUUAUAAGCUAAAAAGUAAACACUGUAAAUCAGUAGGGCGCCCUAUUGCCCUUAGCAUUGAUGAGGAACUUUGUUUUGAAAAUCACUUACUUUAUUUAAGUGACAAAGGUAUACCAAUUGGAAUUAAUGAUUUUAAAAGUAUUGUCAAAAUCUAUCUGGAUGAUAGUGGAAAAAAUAUACAACAGUUUAAAGAUAACCAACCAGGUUGGGAGUGGUGUAAACUUUAUCUUGACAGGCAUCCAUCAUUAAAAGAAAAAGUAUCUCAAUGUAUUUCAAGGAAACAUGCACAGAUUAAUUAUUGUCAAAUAAAAUUAUUUUUUCAAAAUCUAGAGAAGGAAUUAAAUAGAGUAACGCUAGAUAACAUUUACAAUAUGGAUGAAACAGGGUUUCAUGAUGAUCCUGGAAAAAAAAAAACUUAUUUUUCGUCAAUCCUCUCGCCAUCCAGAACUUAUAAGAAACACAACAAAAACUUGUUACACUGUUGUUUUUUGUGGAAAUGCCUCAGGAAAACUAAUUCCACCAUUUUUCAUUUUUAAAGGAAAACACAGUUGGUCUGACUGGCUUUACAAUGCACCAGAAGGAUCAAGAAUGGCAACUUCUUGCAGUGGCUGGAUGGAAAUUCAAAUAUUAGAAGAGUGGCUGUUAAAUCACUUUGUUCCAAAUAUUAUAAAUAAAGAAGGUAAAAAAAUUCUGAUUUGCGAUAAUUUAAGUGCUCUUAUAUCUUUAAAGCCUUAAAUAUAUGUGAAAAGCAUAAUAUAUGCCACUGAGGUAGAAGCAUACUAUAAGGAAAGAGACAAUAAAAAAAAAAGUCAAGAUAAUAUUCGAGCAAAGAAAAAAGGAAGACCACUUGGAUAAAAAAAUAUGGUAAAUGUUAAUCAAGUUAUUGAAGACAAUGAACAAGUUUUACCUGUAUCUCAAAAUGAUGCAGUUUUUUCAUUGGAGCAAAUAAACAAUCACUAUGUACAUGUUUUCCUUGAUCAUGAUUAUUUUGUAAAAGAGUUAGUUGUAACUCAAGACUAAAAGAAUGAAACACUGUAAUAUUUAGUUUUAUAGUCAAUGGUGUUUAUUUGUGGAGAAUUAUAUAAAAAUAAUGUCUUAA
This is a non-coding RNA of Hydra vulgaris (swiftwater hydra), 1464 nucleotides long. The record is from RefSeq and is a predicted model, not a curated record. Lineage: Eukaryota; Metazoa; Cnidaria; Hydrozoa; Anthoathecata; Hydridae.